This 89-nucleotide transfer RNA is filed under the name Pleuronectes platessa (European plaice). It matches the Rfam family "tRNA". From Rfam's summary of the family: Transfer RNA (tRNA) molecules are approximately 80 nucleotides in length. Their secondary structure includes four short double-helical elements and three loops (D, anti-codon, and T loops). Further hydrogen bonds mediate the characteristic L-shaped molecular structure. tRNAs have two regions of fundamental functional importance: the anti-codon, which is responsible for specific mRNA codon recognition, and the 3' end, to which the tRNAs corresponding amino acid is attached (by aminoacyl-tRNA synthetases). tRNAs cope with the degeneracy of the genetic code in two manners: having more than one tRNA (with a specific anti-codon) for a particular amino acid; and 'wobble' base-pairing, i.e. permitting non-standard base-pairing at the 3rd anti-codon position. The record is from Rfam by way of RNAcentral. Lineage: Eukaryota; Metazoa; Chordata; Actinopteri; Pleuronectiformes; Pleuronectidae.
CCUUCGAUAGCUCAGCUGGUAGAGCCGAGGGCUGUAGGAGUGUAAUAUAUGUAAUCCUUAGUUCGCUGGUUCAACUCUGGCCCGAAGGA